CCUACGGGUGGCAGCAGUGAGGAAUAUUGGUCAAUGGACGAGAGUCUGAACCAGCCAAGUAGCGUGAAGGAUGACUGCCCUAUGGGUUGUAAACUUCUUUUAUAUGGGAAUAAAAUGUUCCACGUGUGGGAUUUUGUAUGUACCAUAUGAAUAAGGAUUGGCUAACUCCGUGCCAGCAGCCGCGGUAAUACGGAGGAUCCGAGCGUUAUCCGGCUUUAUUGGGUUUAACGGGAGCGUAGGUGGAUUGUUAAGUCAGUUGUGAAAGUUUGCGGCUCAACCGUAAAAUUGCAGUUGAAACUGGCAGUCUUGAGUACAGUAGAUGUGGGCGUAAUUCGUGGUGUAGCGGUGAAAUGCUUAGAUAUCACGAAGAACUCCGAUUGCGAAGGCAGUUCACUGGACUGCAACUGACACUGAUGCUCGAAAGUGUGGGUAUCAAACAGGAUUAGAUACCCGAGUAGUC
RNAcentral lists this ribosomal RNA (460 nucleotides) under uncultured bacterium. RNAcentral describes it as "partial 16S ribosomal RNA". It matches the Rfam family "Bacterial small subunit ribosomal RNA", at positions 338 to 795 of the family's 1533-position model. The record is from RNAcentral.